UAGAUGAGGAAUGUGAGGAGAUAGAGAUAGUUGUUGUAUAGAUAGAUAGUGGGUAGCAUGAUAGUUGAUAGCGACGUAGAUUAGUUGAUAGCGACGUAGAUUAGUUGAUAGUGACAUAGAUUACUUGAUAGUGAUGUAGAUUAGUUGAUAGUGACAUAGAUAGUGAGAUAGAUAGCUGAUGGUGGUAUAAAGGUAGUGAACAGAUAGCAGAUAGGUGGGUUAUUGUUAGAGAAGUAGUUUGUGGAUAGCAAGGUAGUUAGCAGUAAGCAAGAGUUAGUAGUGAUGUAGUUAGAUCAUAGCCAGAUAGCUGAUAGGGGGAUGCAGGAUAGAAAGAUGGGUGACUGAAAGGUAGUUAAUUUAUAGAGUAUGAUAUAGAAAGUUGCUAAAAAGAAUCUCUGUUUCAGAUGUGCUACUGCAUCCUGGGAUACCACUCUCCCCGCCAGCAUGGGGUGAAGAGCAACACCUGAUGCUGCCCCAGUGCUGGCAGAAGAACAGCAGCUCUGCAGAGACCCGUCCUGCCAGCAGAGCAUCACGGAGAAGAAGACGCGCCUUCUGCUCACAGAUGAGCCACGGAGUCCUGGGACACCACUCUCCCCUCCAGCAUGUGAUGAGGACCAACGCCUGAUGCUGCUCCAGCGCCGGCAGAAGAACAGCAGCUCUGGGAACACCCGUCCUGCCAGCACAGCAUCACAGGGAAGAGGACGCACCUUCUGCUCAGAGCGAGUUACUCUUCUCCUGUAAGCCGAGCUUUGACAGAGUUGAUGUCCAAAACAGCCGAGGAAGAACUGGACUGAAGAGGAGAGCGCCAGCUGACAGCGCCCGUCUGGUGUGAUGUGCCCAGAGAGAGACUCGUCCAGCAAGAGAUAGAGUAGAUAGGGAGCAUAGGGACCCAGUUAGCUCUAAAAUGUCUUAGUAGUGCAGUUGUAAGAAAGCUCUGUAAAUAAAUUGUAUGCCAUUGUUUUCAUAUCCUUACACUGUGUCCAAAACUGUGUUUGUUCGUAGUCCGAUAUGCCUAGAAAUAAAUGACAGAACAAUAAAUCUUUUCC
RNAcentral lists this long non-coding RNA (1046 nucleotides) under Gallus gallus (chicken). Lineage: Eukaryota; Metazoa; Chordata; Aves; Galliformes; Phasianidae. The record is from RNAcentral.